Molecule: long non-coding RNA, 255 nt
Filed under: Mus musculus (house mouse)
Lineage: Eukaryota; Metazoa; Chordata; Mammalia; Rodentia; Muridae
Description: predicted gene, 21679
Source: RNAcentral
GAGGACCGUAUUCAUGGAAGAGGAUCGAACAGACUACUGAGUUCUUAUGAGAAAAAUGGCUCUUAAGAAAUUGAAGGUGAUACCAAAGGAAAGUUACUUAUUACUUUUGGACUUUGAUGAUGAGGACGAUGAUAUAAAAGUUUCAGAGGAGGCUCUUUCGGAAGAGAUGAAGUAGACAGUAUGUUGGAUAAAUCUGAAGCUGCAUCAUUGGACUCAAACUGAAUGGUCCAUGUGUUGCCACUGAUGUGAGCCAUU